Molecule: ribosomal RNA, 255 nt
Filed under: uncultured prokaryote
Description: partial 16S ribosomal RNA
Rfam family: Bacterial small subunit ribosomal RNA
Source: RNAcentral
CGGAGGAUCCAAGCGUUAUCCGGAUUUAUUGGGUUUAAAGGGUGCGCAGGCGGAAGAUUAAGUCGGCGGUGAAAUUUUGCAGCUCAACUGUAAAAGUGCCAUCGAUACUGGUUUUCUUGAGUGUGGAUGAAGUAGGCGGAAUUUGUGGUGUAGCGGUGAAAUGCAUAGAUAUCAUGAGGAACUCCGAUUGCGCAGGCAGCUUACUAGGCCAUAACUGACGCUCAGGCACGAAGGCGUGGGGAUCAAACAGGAUUA